CCUACGGGAGGCAGCAGUGGGGAAUAUUGGGCAAUGGGCGCAAGCCUGACCCAGCAACGCCGCGUGAAGGAAGAAGGCUUUCGGGGUGUUAAAUUCGUUUAAGAGGGGAGAGCAGAAGACGGUACCUCUUGAAUAAGCCACGGCUAACUACGUGCCAGCAGCCGCGGUCGUACGUAGGUUGCAAGCGUUGUCCGGAUUUACUGGGUGUAAAGGGCGUGUAGCCGGGCUGACAAGUCAGAUGUGAAAUGCCGGGGCUCAACCCCGGACCUGCAUUUGAAACUGGUGGUCUUGAGUAUCGGAGAGGCAGGCGGAAUUCCUAGUGUAGCGGUGAAAUGCGUAGAUAUGAGGAGGAACACCAGUGGCGAAGGCGGCCUGCUGGACGACAACUGACGGUGAGGCGCGAAAGCGUGGGGAGCGAACAGGAUUAGAUACCCCAGUAGUC
RNAcentral lists this ribosomal RNA (442 nucleotides) under uncultured bacterium. Its description in RNAcentral is "partial 16S ribosomal RNA". It matches the Rfam family "Bacterial small subunit ribosomal RNA", at positions 338 to 795 of the family's 1533-position model. The record is from RNAcentral.